AGGAAAUCCGUAUCGCUAUUUUUACUACUAAAUAAACCAGUGCAAUUAAAGCGCGCAGGGCGAGAGUAUGUCGAGGCGAGCACAGAGGAGCGCGCCCGCCCAGGCUUGCCCUGAGGGCGGCGAGGGCUGUGAGCCAGGACCCCGGGCCCUGCACCGCGGGAGCGCGCGCGCGUGGGUCCAGCCUCCUAGCUGUGCGACAACCCGGUGGCCAAAGUCACCACGAGAAGACAGAGUUCCCGGUCAUCGGUCGUUUCUGCCUUACACUUUCCUACAUUUCCUGAACAUUUUGCAAAUGGUUUUGAUCCCGAACGGUGUCCAGCGGUGGCAUCACCAAGAUUUCCGGGAGUGCUAGGGAUUGGGAAGAAUCGUGGAUAGGAGACUAAGCGAGCCGUCCCGGAAGCAACAGUUGCUGGUAAGACUUUGGGCACAGACCUGUACGCGAGUGUAUGCUUUUGCGGGUUGUGGGGCUCUCCUUUCAUAGCUAGGGAACAGUUGUCGAACAUACCCGGAGUGUAGUUGUUAGUGGACAAUAUUAUGGCGGCCAAUUGAAGUGUGGGUUUCCGUAGUGUAGUGGUUAUCACAUUCGCCUAACACGCGAAAGGUCCCCGGUUCGAAACCGGGCGGAAACAACCCCAAGUGGGUUUUUGUUUUUUUCUUUUUGAGACGGGGUUUUGCUCUUGUUGCCCAGGCUGGAGUGCAAUGGCGUGAUCUCGGCUCACAGCAACCUCCGCUUCCCCGGUUCAAGCCAUUUUCCUGCCUCAGCCUCCGGAGUAGCUGGGAUUACAGGCACGCUCCACCACACCCGGCUAAUUUUGUAUUUUUAGUAAAGACAGGGUUUCUCCAUGUUGGUCAUGGCUGGUCUCGAACUCCGGAUCUCAGGUGAUCCGCCCGCCUCGGCCUCCCAAAGGGCUGGGAUUACAGGCGUGAACCACCGCGCCCAGCCCCGAAGCGGUUUUUAUCUCAUUACACACCCUUAUUACACUGGAGACUAAACUAGAAGACCCCACUAGUAUGUUCACCUGGUUACAGCGGCACAAAGAGAAGAGGGCAUCUACGCUUUUGCUUCCCAGCCUCAAUCACCUGCAUCUGUGAAGAACCCAAUCCACUUUCACUUGCUGUAGACAAGCUCGGCACAGGGCCCAUCUACUCCACAGCUGCACGCUGCCAAAUGGAACCCCGCAUCCCGAGUAUGUGUGUGGCCCAUUACCCCUUUCAUAGGGGACAAAAGUGACAAAAGUACCACAGUCUGGCAGCGGUGGGAUUCGAACCCACGACCCCGAAGAGACUGGAGCCUUAAUCCAGCGCCUUAGACCGCUCGGCCACGCUACCUCUCGGCUACAACGUAUUUACAUAAUUUCCUUCAGUUAUAAAGCAUGCCAAGGGCCCUGGGCCAACAGGGAGUUGGGGCGAAUCCACAGGGAGAACCAAGGCAGGAUCCGCUCCGCCAAAGUCACUGGCUGGAAAAUGGCUCCACCAGCGCCCUGACACGGGAUUCUCAAAGCCCAGGCCUCAGCAUCUGCUUUAGGAAGGCCACUCAUAAAGCCACCCCUGCCGGCCCCCUUUGGGGAAUGCGCUCCACAGCAGGGGUAGACUUCCACUCUCUCACUUCAAAAAAUCAAAAACAAAUACAAUGAAAAACAAAAUACAAUAAAAACCUAAAGAAAAACAAACAGGCCGGGCGCCGUGGCUCACGCCUGUAAUCCCAGCACUUUGGGAGGCUGAGGAGGGCAGAUCACGAGGUCAGGAGAUCGAGACCAUCCUGGCUAACAUGGUGAAACCCCGUCUUUACUAAAAAAUACAAAAAAUUAGCCGGGCGUGGUGGCGCCUGUGGUCCCAGCUACUCCGGAGGCUGAGCCAAGAGAAUGGCGUGACCCCGGGAGGUGGAGAUUGCAGUGAGCCGAGAUCGCGCCACUGCACUCCAGCCUGAGCGACUGAGCCAGACUCCAUCUCAAAAAAAAAAAAAAAAAAAAAAGAAAAACAAACAAACAAAAACCCCCAGCCUGAGCAACAUGGCAAAACCCUGUCUUUACAAAAGAUGUAAACAUUAGCCGGGCGUGAUGGUGUGUGACCAGCUACUCAGCUACUCAGGAGGCUGAGCCCGGGAGGCAGAGGCUGCAGUGAGCCGAGAUCGCCCCACUGCACUCCAGCCGAGGUGACAGAGCAAGAGCCUGUACCAAAACCAACCAAAGAAAAACAAAACAAACAAAAAACCCCAACAACAACAACAAAACAGGCAACAAACUGAAAGUAUGUAUUGACUUUACGAGUCACGAGCAGAAACAUUCUUAGUAACUUCAUUCAUAAUAACUCGCCUCUGGAAACAGGCCAAAUGCCCACCAUCUUUGCACUGGAUAAAUAAAAUGGUAUAUAGUCUUAUCUUAUUUUAUUAUUUUAUUUUUUAUUAUGUAUAUAGUCUUACAUGGGAUAAUUAUAACACUGAUAAUGAGCUUACUGCUGCAAACAGCAUGGAUGGAUUUCACCAACAUCAAUAUUGAGCAAAUGCAGCCAGACACCAACCGUCUGCAUUCUAUUGAUCCCACAUAUGACGUUCACGCACGAGCCAAACUAUCUAUGCUGACAGAAGUUAAAAUCCUGUCACUUGGGAGGAGGAGGUGCAGAUACUGACUUGCAAGGGACAUGAGGAAACUUUUUGCAAUGCUCUAUCUGGGUGAUAGAGCACGUGUGUGUUUGUGCAUGUGCACAAGCCAAGUGUAUUCAAUUCCAUGCUCACUUAAGAUUUCUGUACAUAUAAAAUCUUGACACAGUACAGCUAUAUUUGUAUGAAAAUUGUUUCUUAAAACAUGACUUUCUUAGUUGGAAAGGCUAUUGUUUUAGAUUUUACUGGUAUGUAACAAAUUACCACACAUUUAGUGUCUUAAGACAGGAUGGAUUUAUUAUCUCGCUUUUUGUGCAAGUUAGCAAGGUUUUCUACUGAUACCGCAGCAGGUGACCUCACAAUGUUGGCCAUUGCUGCAGUCUCAUCUGAGGCAGGGGAUUCUCUUCCAGCCUCCCUGCUUGUUGACAAAAUGCAUUUCUUUGUUGCUGUGGGACUGAAAUCUCCCGUUUGCUUGCUGGCUGUCAGCUGAGGGCCACUCUCAGCAACCAGAGGCCCCUUUCCUUGAGGCCAGCGGUGCACAGUGUUUCUGGAACUCCACCUUCUUUUAAAGGCCUCACCUGAUUAAGUCAGGCCCACCCAGACUAAUUUCCUUUUUGAUUUAUCAAAAUCAACUGACCAGGAACCUCAAUCACAGCUGCGCAAUCCGUUGUUCCGUAAAAUGUGGCGUGGUUGUGGGAGUGACAUGCCGUCACGUUCACUCAGAGGCAGGUGGCCUACAGGGCGUGUGCCCUGGGUGGGAAUCUUGGGGCCCACCUUUGAGUUCUCCCUAUGACAGUUACAGGCCUGAGAACCAAAUAGAUAGUCUCCCAGCAGAACAGGCUUUCCAAGUUCCUUACUUGUCUUUGUAUUUGUAACU
Long non-coding RNA from Macaca mulatta (Rhesus monkey), 3473 nucleotides. The record is from Ensembl. NCBI's taxonomy places the organism in Eukaryota, Metazoa, Chordata, Mammalia, Primates, Cercopithecidae.